CGCGUAGGCGGGCCUUCAAGUCGGAUGUGAAAACCGGCGGCUUAACCGCCGGCCUGCAUUCGAUACUGUCGGUCUUGAGUACGGAAGAGGAAAGCGGAAUUCCAGGUGUAGCGGUGAAAUGCGUAGAUAUCUGGAAGAACACCAGUAGCGAAGGCGGCUUUCUGGUCCGAUACUGACGCUGAAGCGCGAAGGCUAGGGUAGCAAACA
RNAcentral lists this ribosomal RNA (207 nucleotides) under uncultured bacterium. RNAcentral's name for it is "partial 16S ribosomal RNA". It matches the Rfam family "Bacterial small subunit ribosomal RNA", at positions 568 to 774 of the family's 1533-position model. The record is from RNAcentral.